AGGACGAACGCUGGCGGCGUGCCUAAUACAUGCAAGUCUAAGGGGUUCAUCGCCUUCGGGAGGUGGAUCACUGGCGCACGGGUGAGUAACACGUAAGUCAUCUGCCCCCGGGUCUGGCAUAACCCGCCGAAAGGCGGACUAAUUCCAGAUGACAUGGCAACAUCAAAGCCGCUUCGGCGGUGCCCAGGGAUGAGCUUGCGUCUGAUUAGCUAGUUGGCAGGGUAAUGGCCUACCAAGGCGACGAUCAGUAGCCGGUCUGAGAGGAUGAUCGGCCACAUUGGGACUGAGACACGGCCCAGACUCCUACGGGAGGCAGCAGUAAGGAAUAUUGCGCAAUGGAACGAAAGUCUGACGCAG
This 357-nucleotide ribosomal RNA is filed under the name uncultured soil bacterium. Its description in RNAcentral is "bacterial SSU rRNA". It matches the Rfam family "Bacterial small subunit ribosomal RNA", at positions 26 to 391 of the family's 1533-position model. The record is from RNAcentral.